Molecule: long non-coding RNA, 729 nt
Filed under: Serinus canaria (Common canary)
Lineage: Eukaryota; Metazoa; Chordata; Aves; Passeriformes; Fringillidae
Description: lncRNA (ENSSCAG00000000698.1)
Source: RNAcentral
CCUCAAUGGGACGGGCUCUUGUGCUGCCCUGCAAGGACAGCACACCAGGCUGUGUGUCCCUGCCCACACUGAGGGGACAGUGCCCGUGCUGGGGGACAGACAGUGCCCUGCACAAAAUGCUGCAGGGUUCAGCAAAAUGGUGAUGUGGAAAGCCAGCAACAGCAUUUUGUCUUACUACCUCCUUCAUGUAUCAGCAGCAUUGAAUAAGGCAAGGAAAGGAAUGUGAAUAGUGAUGGAUGAGAGGAGCAUUGAAUUUCCUGCAAACACUCAUCCACUCUUUCUGUGACUGGGCUUCAGCUGCAUUCUCAUGUAUUUGUGCUUUCCAUUAAUGCUGCACGACAGUACAAAUGCCAGUGGAAGCUGGGUGCCCUUGGAUUCACCUCUCAGGUGAGGUUUGCCCUCCUUCACCACAGGAGAGAAGAAGCCUGGCAGCAGGAAGACCAAAAGAUUAAAAUAGAAUAUUCUGGAAUCAUAUCAAGAUGGAACAAAGAAUCUGUGCAUUAUCAACCAAGACCUAUUCCUGGAAAUUCAGUAUGCCAGCUCACCUCCCAAGCAUGCUCAGAUGAGAUUUCUGUGACUAAAAACCAGAGCAUCCUGAUGCCACAAGACACUCGCUCACAUCACCAAUAGAUUGUGACCUUUACUCUGCAUAAGCAUAUUAACAGACUGGGCCAUUUUACAAAUUACACUGCAUUCCUGAAUAGUGAAAUAAAAUGUCAGAAAAGCUCA